This 640-nucleotide ribosomal RNA is filed under the name uncultured Bacteroidota bacterium. RNAcentral's name for it is "bacterial SSU rRNA". It matches the Rfam family "Bacterial small subunit ribosomal RNA", at positions 24 to 653 of the family's 1533-position model. Lineage: Bacteria; Pseudomonadati; Bacteroidota. The record is from RNAcentral.
UCAGGAUGAACGCUAGCUACAGGCUUAACACAUGCAAGUCGAGGGGCAGCGGGAUUGAAGCUUGCUUCAAUUGCCGGCGACCGGCGCACGGGUGAGUAACGCGUAUCCAACCUUCCGUACACUCAGGGAUAGCCUUUCGAAAGAAAGAUUAAUACCUGAUAGUAUCUUAAGCACACAUGUAAUUAAGAUUAAAGAUUUAUCGGUGUACGAUGGGGAUGCGUUCCAUUAGGUAGUAGGCGGGGUAACGGCCCACCUAGCCGACGAUGGAUAGGGGUUCUGAGAGGAAGGUCCCCCACAUUGGAACUGAGACACGGUCCAAACUCCUACGGGAGGCAGCAGUGAGGAAUAUUGGUCAAUGGACGAGAGUCUGAACCAGCCAAGUAGCGUGAAGGAUGAAGGUCCUACCGAUUGUAAACUUCUUUUAUAAGGGAAUAAACCCUUCCACGUGUGGGAGCUUGUAUGUACCUUAUGAAUAAGCAUCGGCUAACUCCGUGCCAGCAGCCGCGGUAAUACGGAGGAUGCGAGCGUUAUCCGGAUUUAUUGGGUUUAAAGGGAGCGCAGACGGGUCGUUAAGUCAGCUGUGAAAGUUUGGGGCUCAACCUUAAAAUUGCAGCUGAUACUGGCGUCCUUGAGUGCGGUU